Molecule: non-coding RNA, 312 nt
Organism: Nannospalax galili (Upper Galilee mountains blind mole rat)
Lineage: Eukaryota; Metazoa; Chordata; Mammalia; Rodentia; Spalacidae
Source: the annotation of a RefSeq genome assembly
AUGGUGUCACAGACACAAGUCCUCAUAUCCCUGCUGCACUCGGUGUCUGGUGCCUGUGGGGAGAUCGUGAUGACCCAGUCUCCAGCCUCCCUGACUAUGUUAGCAGGAGAGAGAGUCACCAUCAGCUUCAAGUCCAGCCAGAGUCUUUAUGAUAGCUCAGACCAGAACUACUUGGCCUGGUACCAGCAGAAGCCAGGGCAGGUUCCUAAGCUGCUAAUGUACUGGGCAUCCACACAGGAGACUGGGGUUCCUGAUCGGUUUACUGGCAGUGGAUCUGGGACAGAUUUCACUCUCAGCAUCAGCAGGGUCUAG